GUUUCCACUAGAACGAUUUCCUUUCCCCACACGGCAAUUCAGAUUUCCCCUUCUACGGACUUUUUUCCCCUCAAAAAUUAUUUUGCUGUAGUUUUGACACCACACGCCACACCUAAAAUUUAUAGUUUAUUUAUCGUUCUUCUUCUAUAGUCUAUUGUAUUAAUAUUAUUAUUUACACAAAAUUCGUCAACAAAAUCAUCGACAGUCGACUUUGCAGAUUACUACUAUUAUUUUGAUAUAGCUGCACAUCACUAGCUAUCAAUUUCCUUACUGUUGGUACUACUUGUUCUAUGGUGGUUGGUACGGUGAUCCAUUCAAAUAAAUAAUCACAGCUAGAAAUAUUUAUUGCGACGGUUGUUUAAUGUGAAAAGAAAUGGAUCGGUGGCUAAUAAAUACUGCUGCUAAAAAAUCGAAUGAAGAAAAGAUUCCUCUGAGCUCAUCCGAAAGACCCGGCACUAGUACAUGCUCUUAUGAACUUCAACCCGGAACGAGUUUUCAGUCCAUUAGUUAUGUCGAGGAUCAGAAAGAACAAUUAGAUCCUCAAACUUCGUCAGUAAUGGAAAUCGAAAAUGAAAAAUCGGUUGAUAACUGUACUGAAGACGAAGAAGAGGGAUACAAUACUGAAAAUGAAAAAAAGCAGUUCAAGCAGAUUGGUAGUUCAAAAUCUAUGGCAAAAGGUAGGAAAAAGAUAUUUAAGAAGAAGUUUCAGCAUGAUUGGCUUAAGCAACCUGAGUUCAAAGCAUGGUUAUUAAAUGGGAAUAAGGAUGAUAAUGCAAUUUGUAAGGUGUGCAAUGUGGUUAUGAAGGCGGGAAAAUCAGAGCUUAAAAAGCAUGGUGAUGGAAAAGCUCAUAAAAAAAAUAUGGAGGCGUGGCUACAGAGUAAUAUUAAUCAACCUAGUAUUACAACAUUCGUUACAGAAAAUACAAAGCUGAAAAAUACCGAAGCUGCCAUUUGUUCUUAUAUCGUCGAAAACAAUCUUCCUAUUUCAUCAAUUGAACCUUUAAUUGAAUUGAUUAAAUCUUUACCAGAGAAGGCAAUCACAUCGCAAAUCUCUUUAGCGAAACAAAAAGCCACUAAUGUCAUUAGGAAUGGAUUGCGCCCAUUUUUUAAUAAUAAACUUAUUAAUGAACUGAACAAUCAUUUGUUUUCCGUUUAUAUUGACGAAACAACUGAUGUAAGCGUCACAAAGCAACUAGCGAUACUAGUCAGCUACUGCCAUAAUUUUAUAACAAAAGUAGAUGUGAUCGACGUAGUAGAUUGCCCUGACGGGACCGCUGUGGGUUUGUACACACAAAUGAUUAACACGCUAAAAGAAAAUAAUGUACCUCUGCAAAACUGGAUAGGCUUUUGUUCUGAUACAACUGCAGUCAUGAUGGGACAGCAUAACUCUGUGUCUCAACUAAUCAAACUAAAUUAUCCUCAAGUAUUCGUGUCAAAAUGCUCUUGCCAUAUGAUACAUCUGGUGGCAAGUAAGGCAUGCACUAAGUUAAGCAACUCUUUAGAAGAUUUGUGCCGCAAUGUAUACAAUCAUUUUGGGAGGAGUCCUAAAAAUUCUGCUGCUUUCAAAGAAUUUCAAAGCUUCCAUGAAGUCAAACCUCACAAGAUUUUGAGAGCUUGUCAAACCAGGUGGUUGUCACUUCAAGCAUGCGUGCGAAGAAUUUUAGAACAGUGGGAGCCAUUGAAGAGUUACUGGAGAAUAUUAAACUACGAAGAUCCAACACAUGCAAACUGUCACACUCUCCAAACCUUGGAGAACCCUUUGAUAAAGAGCCAAAUGCAUUUUGUAGACUACGCUCUUGGAAUUUUUAAUGAUUUUAAUUGCAUGUUUCAAGCUGAUUAUCCUAAGUUCUCAGAAUUGAAGACUCAAACUGAGGAGUUAAUCAAAACAUUGGCAUUAAAUUUCAUGAACAGAAAUUAUGUUAAGCAAAUCCCUGCUAACCAAAUCAAUCCUCAUCAGACAGAAGAACAUCUUGAAUUAAAACAUAUUUAUUUAGGUGUAGAUGCGAUCUGUUUAUUAACAGAGAUCGAAAAGAAAGAAGAGAGUGAAAUUCAGAAAAUUUUUCAGUCAGCAAAAUUGUUUUAUAUUGAAGCGAUCGUACAAAUCAAGAAACGAUUUGUAUUUGAAGAUGUGCACAAUGAUUCGUCUUUUUUAAACCCGAAAAAUGCCAUUGAUUUGCACCCUACAUCAUUGUACAAAAUCGCGAAAAAAUACAUUCCAUCGCACAUUGCUGUAGAUUUAACAGAGCUGGACAAGGAAUGGAGAAAUCAAAGUCUCCUGUCCGAUAUGGAUUGUAAUGAUUCCAUAGAUACGGUAAGCUAUUGGAAAAAAAUUUUUGAAAAAAAAAAUGUUGACAGCAGAUGUAAAUUCGUUCAACUGCCAAUUUUAGUGAACUAUUUCAUGUCGUUGCCUUUUUCGAAUGCUGCUGUUGAACGAUUAUUUAGUGAUCUAAAAAAUAUCAAAACAGAUAAACGCAAUAGGCUCGAUAAUGAAACGGUUGCAUCAAUCCUCUGUGUAAAAUCUGGCUUGAAAAGAACGGGAACAACUUCUGUACAACUAAUGAAAAAUCAGUUAGAAAUACCACACCUCAAGUUUGUACAGUCUAAUGCAAGUGCAAGCGAAUCUAAAAAAAUUAGACUUAGCAUGAAUAAAAUAUAACUAAACGAUUUGUGUUUUAUUUACAGACUGACCAGAAAUAUAAUAAAAACUUGGAGUUGUGUACUCAUUUUUUAUUCCAAAUUAGUUUACGCUGUCAGCGCAUACAUUUUUGCACAGAAUAAUAUUUUAGGCCUCAAACAGAAUUGAAAUAAGGGUAAGUAUACGCCACCUGCUCGUGUUGUCGCUUGUCGCAGUUCCUUUCAUACGGUAACACACUAGUCCACGGUAGAGUCCAUAAAUAAUAAAAGAUUUCGUGUAUGAAAAAUCCGCUAGAUGGCAAUACGCAGGCGUGACUUGUGAGGUCCGUCCGAGUGCUGCAUGAUUGGAUAUUUUUGGCAUAGCAUUGAUAGAUACUGUCAAAAUUCACCAAUCGUAGCAGCUAGAGCCAUCAUUUAUCAUACGCGAAAACCCUCAUUACUUCCGAAAGGAUUUAUCUACGAUUUCCCGCAAUUUCCCCUUUUAUAGUCUUUCCCCUUUUCUUUCCCCUCUUGACCCUAAUUUCCCCUCAAAAGGGGAAUUUCCCCUCAAUGUGGAAACACUGA
This is a long non-coding RNA of Ostrinia nubilalis (European corn borer), 3198 nucleotides long. RefSeq lists it as uncharacterized. NCBI's taxonomy places the organism in Eukaryota, Metazoa, Arthropoda, Insecta, Lepidoptera, Crambidae. The transcript has 3 exons. The record is from RefSeq and is a predicted model, not a curated record.